RNAcentral lists this ribosomal RNA (443 nucleotides) under uncultured bacterium. Its description in RNAcentral is "partial 16S ribosomal RNA". It matches the Rfam family "Bacterial small subunit ribosomal RNA", at positions 338 to 795 of the family's 1533-position model. The record is from RNAcentral.
CCUACGGGAGGCAGCAGUGGGGAAUAUUGGGCAAUGGAGGAAACUCUGACCCAGCAACGCCGCGUGAAUGAUGAAGGUCUUCGGAUUGUAAAGUUCUUUUCUAAGGGAAGAAGAAAGUGACGGUACCUGAGGAAUAAGCCUCGGCUAACUACGUGCCAGCAGCCGCGGUAAUACGUAGGGGGCGAGCGUUAUCCGGAAUGACUGGGCGUAAAGGGUGCGUAGGUGGGUUGGCAAGUUAGUAGCGAAACUCCAGGGCUCAACCUUGGAACUGCAUUUGAAACUGUUUGACUUGAGUGCAGGAGAGGCAAACGGAAUUCCUAGUGUAGCGGUGGAAUGCGUAGAUAUUAGGAGGAACACCAGUGGCGAAGGCGGGUUGCUGGACUGUAACUGACGCUGAGGCACGAAAGCGUGGGGAGCAAACAGGAUUAGAUACCCGAGUAGUC